CAGUCGCCGCGGUAAUACAGAGGAUGCAAGCGUUAUCCGGAAUGAUUGGGCGUAAAGCGUCUGUAGGUGGCUUUUCAAGUCCGCCGUCAAAUCCCAGGGCUCAACCCUGGACAGGCGGUGGAAACUACCAAGCUAGAGUACGGUAGGGGCAGAGGGAAUUUCCGGUGGAGCGGUGAAAUGCGUUGAGAUCGAAAAGAACACCAACGGUGAAAGCACUCUGCUGGGCCGACACUGACACUGAGAGACGAAAGCUAGGGGAGCAAAUGGGAUUAGAUACCCCCGUAGUCCCUGUCUCUUAUAC
RNAcentral lists this ribosomal RNA (301 nucleotides) under uncultured bacterium. Its description in RNAcentral is "partial 16S ribosomal RNA". It matches the Rfam family "Bacterial small subunit ribosomal RNA", at positions 509 to 807 of the family's 1533-position model. The record is from RNAcentral.